Conger conger (European conger) is the source of this 454-nucleotide long non-coding RNA. RefSeq lists it as uncharacterized. The transcript has 3 exons. The record is from RefSeq and is a predicted model, not a curated record. Lineage: Eukaryota; Metazoa; Chordata; Actinopteri; Anguilliformes; Congridae.
AGGAAGACUUGAAAAAAGCUUUUAGGCUACAAGAUAACCCGCAAUGCAUUAUCUGUUCAUUUACCACUAGAAAACUGGUUUAUAUUUCACUUAAUUUUUGUGACAUAAACGUGCAGUCUGCUACGUUGUAUUGUUUUUUCAGUAAACAGCUGACUGUAUUUGAAAAUGCUGCUAUAUUGCUAACAAAUUCAGAGUCUGUCCCGGGAAUAAUCGGAAUAUAAAUAAAUCAAUUGACUAGUAGACUGUGGGAUUGAAAAAAGCGUGGUCAAGAAUAACCAGGCGUUGGCUGUAAGUGAAAGCACCAGGCGAGCACGCCGCUGCAGAAGGCAGAACGAUUGGGCUGGCCCGGGCAAGGAUAGGGGGGUCAUCUUCUAACCAAGACCAUAGAGGGGAAAGUCCAGUAAAGUCCCCAGCAAAAGCCCCUCAACCGGCCAUCCCCCGCACCCCCCAUCCC